Molecule: ribosomal RNA, 464 nt
Filed under: uncultured bacterium
Lineage: Bacteria
Description: partial 16S ribosomal RNA
Rfam family: Bacterial small subunit ribosomal RNA
Source: RNAcentral
CCUACGGGAGGCAGCAGUAGGGAAUUUUCGUCAAUGGGCGCAAGCCUGAACGAGCAAUGCCGCGUGAACGAUGAAGGUCUUCGGAUCGUAAAGUUCUGUUGAAGGGGAAAAAGAGCGGAGAGAGGAAAUGGUCUCCGAUUGAUAUUACCCUUCGAGGAAGUCACGGCUAACUACGUGGCAGCAGCCGCGGUAAUACGUAGGUGGCGAGCGUUAUCCGGAAGGAGUGGGCGUAAAGGGUGCGUAGGCGGCCUGCUAAGGCUAGUGUGAUAGGUACCGGCUCACACGGUGCAGGCUAUGGAAACUGGUGGGCUAGAGAGCAGGAGAGGGCAGUGGAACUCCAUGUGUAGCGGUGAAAUGCGUAGAUAGAUGGAAGAACACCAGUAGCGAAGGCGGCCGACUGGCAUGGUACUGACGCUGAGGCACGAAAGCGUGGGGAGCAAAUAGGAUUAGAUACCCUAGUAGUC